Small nucleolar RNA from Choloepus didactylus (southern two-toed sloth), 71 nucleotides. RefSeq annotates it as small nucleolar RNA U2-30. Lineage: Eukaryota; Metazoa; Chordata; Mammalia; Pilosa; Megalonychidae. The transcript has a single exon. The record is from RefSeq and is a predicted model, not a curated record.
GAGCAAUGAUGAAAAGGUUUAACUACUGACCUUUUAUAACUAUGAAGGUUUCUACACUUGAUCUGAGCUCA